This 439-nucleotide ribosomal RNA is filed under the name uncultured bacterium. RNAcentral's name for it is "partial 16S ribosomal RNA". It matches the Rfam family "Bacterial small subunit ribosomal RNA", at positions 339 to 795 of the family's 1533-position model. The record is from RNAcentral.
CUACGGGGCGCACCAGUGAGGAAUAUUGCACAAUGGGGGGAACCCUGAUGCAGCAACGCCGCGUGGAGGAUGACGCAUUUCGGUGUGUAAACUCCUUUUAUAUGUCAAGAAAAUGACGGUAGCAUAUGAAUAAGCACCGGCUAACUCCGUGCCAGCAGCCGCGGUAAUACGGAGGGUGCAAGCGUUACUCGGAAUCACUGGGCGUAAAGGACGCGUAGGCGGGUUGGAAAGUCAGGUGUGAAAUCCUACAGCUUAACUGUAGAACUGCACUUGAAACUUCUAAUCUAGAGUAUGGGAGGGGGAGAUGGAAUUAGUGGUGUGGGGGUAAAAUCCGUAGAUAUCACUAGGAAUACCUAAAGCGAAGGCGAUCUCCUGGAACAUUACUGACGCUAAGGCGUGAAAGCGUGGGGAGCAAACAGGAUUGGAUACCCGGGUAGUC